Molecule: ribosomal RNA, 907 nt
Filed under: Microdochium indocalami
Lineage: Eukaryota; Fungi; Ascomycota; Sordariomycetes; Xylariales; Microdochiaceae
Description: Microdochium sp. SH-2020a partial large subunit ribosomal RNA
Rfam family: Eukaryotic large subunit ribosomal RNA
Source: RNAcentral
UAAGCAUAUCAAUAAGCGGAGGAAAAGAAACCAACAGGGAUUGCCCUAGUAACGGCGAGUGAAGCGGCAACAGCUCAAAUUUGAAAUCUGGCCUUCUGGUCCGAAUUGUAAUUUGUAGAGGAUGACUUUGGUUAGGUACCUUUCGAGUUCCUUGGAACAGGACGCCUUAGAGGGUGAGAGCCCCGUACGAUUGGAUGCCGAGCCUCUGUAAGUCUCCUUCGACGAGUCGAGUAGUUUGGGAAUGCUGCUCUAAAUGGGAGGUAAAUUUCUUCUAAAGCUAAAUACCGGCCAGAGACCGAUAGCGCACAAGUAGAGUGAUCGAAAGAUGAAAAGCACUUUGAAAAGAGGGUUAAAUAGUACGUGAAAUUGUUGAAAGGGAAGGGCUUAUGACCAGACCUUUGCAUUGAGGAUCAUCCGGUGUUCUCACCGGUGCACUUCUCUUUGUUGAGGCCAGCAUCAGUUCUAGUUGGGGGAUAAAGACUUAAGGAAUGUGAUUCCUCCGGGAAUGUUAUAGCCUUUUGUGUAAUACCCUGACCGGGACUGAGGACCGCGCUUCGGCUAGGAUGCUGGCAUAAUGGUCAUCAGCCACCCGUCUUGAAACACGGACCAAGGAGUCGAACAUUUAUGCGAGUGUUUGGGUGUUAAACCCUCACGCGUAAUGAAAGUGAACGGAGGUGAGAGCCCUUACGGGUGCAUCAUCGACCGAUCCUGAUGUCUUCGGAUGGAUUUGAGUAAGAGCAUAACUGUUCGGACCCGAAAGAUGGUGAACUAUGCGUGGAUAGGGUGAAGCCAGAGGAAACUCUGGUGGAGGCUCGCAGCGGUUCUGACGUGCAAAUCGAUCGUCAAAUCUGCGCAUGGGGGCGAAAGACUAAUCGAACCAUCUAGUAGCUGGGUUACCGCCGAAGUU